This 400-nucleotide unclassified non-coding RNA is filed under the name uncultured fungus. RNAcentral's name for it is "sequence contains ITS1". The stretch from base 1 to 106 matches the Rfam family "5.8S ribosomal RNA", at positions 50 to 154 of the family's 154-position model. The record is from RNAcentral. Lineage: Eukaryota; Fungi.
AAACUGCGAAACGUGAUGUGAACUGCACUCUUCGUGAAUCAUCCAAUCUUUGAACGCACUUUGCACCUAGUGGCUUUUGUCACUAGGUAUACUUGUUUGAGUAUCAAAAACAACCUCACCUACCUUUCGGGGCAAGGUGGACUUGAGAUUCGAUAGGAACCGCGAGGAACCCUUCGUCUCUUUAAAUGUGGUGGUCCUUUGUGGGAGGUCUCCGUCUGGAACCUGACAGACUAUUGGGAUAACAUCCUGACGAUCGUCUGUCGGUUCAUUUCAAUUAGACGUUGACUAACCUUGGCCAACCUUGAAGGAUCAUGGCGUACCUCUGUUAAAGGAUGGUGCUUUAUGUGACUUUACUAGUUGGAUGCCGUAUGGUGUCUAAUUGUGAUAUGAUCUCAAAUCA